AGUCGAACGGCAGCACGGACUUCGGUCUGGUGGCGAGUGGCGAACGGGUGAGUAAUGUAUCCAGGUGUGCUGAUAGCGGGGGAUAACUACGCGAAAGCGUAGCUAAUGCCGCAUACGCCCUUCGGGGAAAGCGGGGACCUUCGGGCCUCGCACUAUUAGAGCGGCCGAUAUCGGAUUAGCUAGUUGGUGGGGUAACGGCUCACCAAGGCGACGAUCCGUAGCUGGUUUGAGGGACGACCAGCCACACUGGGACUGAGACACGGCCCAGACUCCUACGGGAGGCAGCAGUAGGGGAAUUUUGGACAAUGGGGGAAACCCUGAUCCAGCCAUCCCGCGUGUGCGAUGAAGGCCUUCGGGUUGUAAAGCACUUUUGGCAGGAAAGAAACGGCACGGGAUAAUACCCCGUGCAACUGACGGUACCUGCAGAAUAGCACCGGCUAACUACGUGCCAGCAGCCGCGGUAAUACGUAAGGUGCAAAAGCGUUAAUCGGAAUUACUGGGCGUAAAGCGAUAUGAGCGGUUCGGAAAGAAAGAUGUGAAAUCCGGAAAGCAACUUUGGAACUGCAUUUUUAACUACCGAGCUAGAGUGUGUCAGAGGUGGAAUUCCGCGUGUAGCAGUGGAAAUCGUAGAUAUGCGGAGGAACACCGAUGGCGAAGGCAGCCUCCUGGGAUAACCUUGACGCUCAUGCACGAAAGCGUAAGAACAAACAGGAUUAGAUACCCUGGUAGUCCACGCCCUAAGCGAUGUCAACUAGCUGUUGGGGCCUUCGGGCCUUGGUAGCGCAGCUAACCGCGUGAAGUUGACCGCCUGGGGAGUACGGUCGCAAGAUUAAAACUCAAAGGAAUUGACGGUUCCACCCAAGCGGUGGAUGAUGUGGAUUAAUUCGAUGCAACGCGAAAAACCUUCCACAUGACAUAUCUGGAAUCCCGAAGGGCCCAGAGUGCUCGCAAGAGAACCGGAACACAGGUGCUGCAUGGCUGUCGUCAGCUCGUGUCGUGAAUGUUGGGUUAAGUCCAUAACAGGCACAACCCUUGUCAUUAUUAGUUGCUACGAGGGCACUCUAAUGGCGAGACUGGUGACUCAAACCGGAGGAGAGAAUUCUGGAUGACGUCAAGUCUCCAUGGCCCUUAUGGGUAGACUUCACACGUCAUACAGUGGUCGGGACAGAGGGGUCGCCCAGCCCGCGAGGAGGCCAAUCCAGAAACCCGAUCGUAGUCCGGAUCGCAGUCUGCAACUCGACUGCGUGAAGUCGAAUCGCUGGUAAUCGCCGGAUCAGCAUGUCGCGGUGAGCGUUCCCGGGUCUUGUACACACCGCCCGUCACGCCGCUGGGAGUGGGUUUUACCAGAAGUAGUUAGCCUAACCGUAAGGAGGGCGAUUACCACGGUAGGAUUCAUGACUGGGGUGAAGUCGUGGGUGA
RNAcentral lists this ribosomal RNA (1419 nucleotides) under uncultured Bordetella sp. RNAcentral's name for it is "partial 16S-23S ribosomal RNA intergenic spacer". It matches the Rfam family "Bacterial small subunit ribosomal RNA". The record is from RNAcentral. Lineage: Bacteria; Pseudomonadati; Pseudomonadota; Betaproteobacteria; Burkholderiales; Alcaligenaceae.